UACGUAGGGUGCGAGCGUUAAUCGGAAUUACUGGGCGUAAAGCGUGCGCAGGCGGUUUGUUAAGACAGAUGUGAAAUCCCCGGGCUUAACCUGGGAACUGCAUUUGUGACUGGCAAGCUAGAGUAUGGCAGAGGGGGGUAGAAUUCCACGUGUAGCAGUGAAAUGCGUAGAGAUGUGGAGGAACACCGAUGGCGAAGGCAGCCCCCUGGGCCAAAACUGACGCUCAUGCACGAAAGCGUGGGGAGCAAACAGG
RNAcentral lists this ribosomal RNA (253 nucleotides) under uncultured bacterium. Its description in RNAcentral is "partial 16S ribosomal RNA". It matches the Rfam family "Bacterial small subunit ribosomal RNA", at positions 524 to 776 of the family's 1533-position model. The record is from RNAcentral.